AUCGCGCGGGAAACUUGUGCUAAUCUCUAAUGUGCCCUUCGGGGGAUGAUUUAUCGCCAUUAGAACGGCCCGACCUCUGAUUAACUAGUUGGUGAAGUAAAGGCUCACCAAGGCGACGAUCAAAAGCUGGUCUGACAGGAUGAUUGCCACUUUGGGACUGAAACACGGCCCACACUCCUACGGAAGGCCGCAGUGGACAAUCUUGCGCAAUGGGCGAGGGCCUGAUUGGACCAUGCCGCGUGAAUGAUGAAGGUCUUGCCAUUGUAAAAUUCUUUCGCCGUCGACGAUAAUGACGCUUCCCGGAGAACAAGCCCCUUCUAACUUCUUGCCAGGGCCGCGGUAAUACCAAGGGGGCUAGCGUUGCUCGGAAUUACUGGGCGUAAAGGGAGCGUACGCGGACAUUUAAGCGUUGGGUGAAAUCCCGGGGCUCAACCUCGGAAUUGCCUUUGAUACUGGGUGUCUUGAAAUCCACAGACUCUGUGGAACUCCGAGUGUGAGGUGAAAUUCUUAAAUAUUCGGAAGAACACAUGUGGCGAAGGCGACAUACUGGCUCAUUACUGACGCUGAGAGCUCCACCGCGUGGGGAGCAAACAGGAUUAGAUACCCUGUGUAGUCCACGCCGUAAACGAUGAUUGCUAAUUGUCGAUGAUGCAUGCAUUUCGGU
RNAcentral lists this ribosomal RNA (664 nucleotides) under Caulobacteraceae bacterium. RNAcentral's name for it is "bacterial SSU rRNA". It matches the Rfam family "Bacterial small subunit ribosomal RNA", at positions 143 to 844 of the family's 1533-position model. Lineage: Bacteria; Pseudomonadati; Pseudomonadota; Alphaproteobacteria; Caulobacterales; Caulobacteraceae. The record is from RNAcentral.